This 3306-nucleotide long non-coding RNA is filed under the name Homo sapiens (human). Its description in RNAcentral is "HSALNT0388401". The record is from RNAcentral. Lineage: Eukaryota; Metazoa; Chordata; Mammalia; Primates; Hominidae.
UCAGGAACUUCUGGGAAGGCAUUAGGCCUGGUUAGAUGCUGGUUGCCAUGGAGCCCAGGGCCAGAGGCAGUUUCUGGUCGUGCCUAGGAGCUGUGCAACGCCAGCCCUUGAGGAGGAAGCCAUCUGUUUCUGGAAUCACCCUCCCCGCCACGUAUAUGAGACAUAUCCUUGAUUGUCCGUGAAAUCAGGUGGUCCAGGGCCAGGUUGGUCCAUAGAGCCUCUGACUCUGCAACACCUCACCCCAGGGUGCCGCCAGCAUAAAGACAGAAGCCUGCAGGGCUCAACAAGGAGAAGGGGCAAAGUGAAGAGAAUUCGGGAAGCUCGUGACAGCAAAAUCACAGGUCAUGGAGUAAAGGGAAGACGAAAUUAGAAAGGAGGUUUCCUAAUUUGGGACAUUGGGAAGAUAUCUGGCAGAAAAUCUGCCUCAAGCAGGUUCAUCUGUUUAAUUAACCUGAGGCCAGUGACUGUUUUGUUGUUGUUGUUGUUUUAUCCAUGAAAUGUGACCAGCAUGAAAAAUCUGAUAUGCAUAUUUCAGAGGACAGCCCCUGUGACAUUCGUCAGCUUAUUAAAGGAAACAAUAUGCCCUAAAACGUGAAAAGCCACUUCCUUGAAACCAAGUCGAGGGGGAAUGGUAAACCAAAGUUAGCAGAAAUAGAAAAGUAGGGUGUUGGUCAGGAAAGACUUCCUAUAGAGAUGUGCCUGUCAGAAAGAUUACUAUUCCCAUCCCGCAUGCUGGAGACCCAUGUGGCAAACAGUGUGGCAGGGACAGACUUUGUUUAAACGAAGGAAUUUGCACUGAAGAUCAUCUUCCGCAUUUUUAUAAACUUUGAAAGCAGUCAGUGGUCUCAGCAUUUUCCUACAAAGGCCAUAUCCCCACGCGUACAUUUGAAUUCUCAAAAGCUCUUUCUCCAAAAGCAUUGCUAAUAAAAAAUGUAAAAAAAAAGAAUUGUCAAAGGGGCCUCUAGAGAUCAUUUGACUUGGUUCAAUAUCUUUAGGCUUGUGAGUAUGUAAAACUAUCCAAGACACAAAGUUAUCAAGUCUUUUUGUUUUGUUCUGUUUUUUUUUUCCUCCCAUUAAAGCAUUCUAGAAACAAAGACCACUGCUCUGAAGCAUUUACUAUUCUGAUAGGUAAUGUGCUCUUAUAGUCACCUGAGGCUGUUGUUAUUCUUGUGUACUUCUAUGCUGCUGAUUAAUUUUCAAAAGCACGGUACAGAGAAAGGGUGCUCAACAUUACUAGUUAUUAGGGACAUGAGAAUUAAAAUCACAGUGAGAUACAGUCUGUCCUCUGUAUCUGUGGGCUCCGUACCUGCUGAUUCAACCAACCAUGGAUCAAAAAUAAUCCAAACAACAACAAAAAUAAUACAGAUGCAAAAGUAGGGAAUAACAACUACUUACAUAGCAUUUACAUUAUAUUAGGUAUUUUAAAUAAUCUAGAAAUGAUUUAAAGUAUAUAAGAUGAUGUGCAUAAGUUAUAUGCAAAUACUAUGCCAUUAUAUAGAAGGGACUUGAGCAUCCUUGGAUUUGGUAUCUGUAGGAGGUGGUCUUGGAACCAAUUCCCCAAGGAUACCAAGAAACAACUCUACUACUACAUGCCUGUUAGAACGGUUAAAAUUAAAGAGAUUGAUUUUACUGAGUGUUGGUGAGGGUGUAGAGAAGCUGGAACUCUCAUGCCCUGCUGGUGGGAAUGUAAAAUGGCACAACCACUUUGGGAAACUAUUAGCAGUUCUUUAAAAGUUAAACAUAUGUCUACCAUAUGAUUUGGUCAAUCCACUCCUUGGUAUUUACCCAAGAGAAAUGAAAGCGUGUGUUCACACAAAGACUUAGAUAUGAAUAUUCAUAAAAGUUUUAUUUGUAAUCAUCAAAAACUGAAAGCAAUUACAUGUUUGGAAUUGAAAUGUAUGGUAAUAUAAUACAAUAUAAAUGAAUGGAUAAAUCGUGGUAUAUCCAUGCAAUGGAAUACUACUCAGCAAUGAAAAGGAAGAAACUAUUAAUGCACUUAAGAUCAUUGCUGAUUUUCAAAUUAAUUAUCCUGUGUAAUAAAGAAUUUGGCCUUUGUCCCCAGUUCCUGGGAGAUAGGCUCUAAAUCCUUGGAAUUUUCCAAGUCGAAGAGUGUCUUUUUUACUGGUGGUUGGCCUGUCAACCACACUUGAGUUUAUGCUAAUGAGGUGACUCAUGAUGGGACCUUACACAAUUUAUGCUAAUGGAAUGACUCAAGAUGGGGGCUGGCCAUGCCAGAAAAACCAACCAUGUAUUUAGAAGGUUGGGGCUUUGAGCUUUUGAUAUAGGCCUGACUUCUGGGGAGAGGAGCAGGGCUGAAGAUUGAGUCAUAGGCCAGUGAUCCAAUGAGUCAUGCCUAUGUGAUGAAGCCCCUAAUAAAAACAAUGGAUAUCAAAGCUCGGGUGAGUCUGACUGCUUGGCUACGCUCAGUGUCUUGUCUCACAUCAGUGUGCUGGAAGGGUCCUUUGUCCUGACUCCACAAGGAGAAGACAUGGAAGCUUCAUGUUUGGGACACUCCCAGUCCUUGCCCUGUGCAUCUCUUCUUUUGGCUGGUUCUGAUUUUGAAAACUUUGGCUACAAUAAAACUGUAAUAAUAAGUGUAGUUCUUUCGUGGGUCUUGUGGGGUUUUCUAGUGAAUUACCAAACCUGAGAGGGGAGUGGGAAGCCCCCAAAAUUGUGACUGCAUCUGAAGUGGGAGCAGUCUUGAGCCCUUAACCUUGAGCCUAGCUCCUGGUAGUUGUUGUCAGAAGUCAUUGCAAUUAUGCUGAGUAAAAAAAGUCAGAAUAAAAGAGGACAUACUAUAGUCUUUAAAAAUGCAAAUUAACACACAGUGACAGAAAGUAGAUCAGUGGUUGCCCGGGACCAAAAUGGAGCACGCUACGGAGGAGGGAUUAUAAAGGGCAGGAGGCAUUUCACCGGUGUUUGAAUAUGUGCAGUUUAUUAUAUGUUAAUACCUCAAUAAAGCUACUUAAAAAAAAAAAGCUCAGUGUGGCCUCUUAUGACCCUGACCAGAGCCCUCCAUGGCUUAUCCAAAGUCUACAGGAUCAAGGCCUUUCAUGACCUGGUCCCAUCUGUCUUUCCAGCCUUGCAUUUAAGCACCAUCCUACACAAAUCCUUCGCUUUAGCCAAACUGUAUGUCUUGCUACCCUCCAAGUAUUCUUCAUGCUUUUUCCACCUCUGCAGCUUUGUUUAUAUAGUCAUAGAAUGCCCUCUCCUAGGUUACCACCCUCACUUUACCUGUUAAAAGUUUACCUACCCUAGGCCGGGCGCAGUGGCUCGCGCCUGUAAUCCCAGCACUUUGGGAGGCCG